GCUGGGCAUGCUGGUGCAUGCCUGUAGUCCCAGCUACUCAGGAAGCUGAGGCAGGGGGAUCGCUUAAGCUUAGGAGGUCAAGGCUGCAGUGGGCCGGGAUUGUGCCGCUGCAGUGAGCCGGGAUUGUGCCACUGCACUCCAGCCUGGGCGACAGAGCAAGACCCUGUCUCAA
Unclassified non-coding RNA from Pongo abelii (Sumatran orangutan), 172 nucleotides. It matches the Rfam family "Metazoan signal recognition particle RNA". Rfam says of the family: The signal recognition particle (SRP) is a universally conserved ribonucleoprotein. The record is from Ensembl. Lineage: Eukaryota; Metazoa; Chordata; Mammalia; Primates; Hominidae.